UACGAAGGGGGCUAGCGUUGCUCGGAAUCACUGGGCGUAAAGCGCACGUAGGCGGACUCUUAAGUCAGGGGUGAAAUCCUGGAGCUCAACUCCAGAACUGCCCUUGAUACUGGGAGCCUUGAGUUCGGGAGAGGUGAGUGGAACUGCGAGUGUAGAGGUGAAAUUCGUAGAUAUUCGCAAGAACACCAGUGGCGAAGGCGGCCGACUGGUCCGGUUCUGACGCUGAGGCGCGAAAGCGUGGGGAGCAAACAGG
This 253-nucleotide ribosomal RNA is filed under the name uncultured bacterium. RNAcentral's name for it is "partial 16S ribosomal RNA". It matches the Rfam family "Bacterial small subunit ribosomal RNA", at positions 524 to 776 of the family's 1533-position model. The record is from RNAcentral.